GGGUUGUGAGGUUAAGCGACUAAGCGUACACGGUGGAUGCCCUGGCAGUCAGAGGCGAUGAAGGACGUGCUAAUCUGCGAUAAGCGUCGGUGAGGUGAUAUGAACCGUUAUAACCGGCGAUUUCCGAAUGGGGAAACCCAGUGUGUUUCGACACACUAUCAUUAACUGAAUCCAUAGGUUAAUGAGGCGAACCGGGGGAACUGAAACAUCUAAGUACCCCGAGGAAAAGAAAUCAACCGAGAUUCCCCCAGUAGCGGCGAGCGAACGGGGAGCAGCCCAGAGCCUGAAUCAGUGUGUGUGUUAGUGGAAGCGUCUGGAAAGGCGCGCGAUACAGGGUGACAGCCCCGUACACAAAAAUGCACAUGCUGUGAGCUCGAUGAGUAGGGCGGGACACGUGGUAUCCUGUCUGAAUAUGGGGGGACCAUCCUCCAAGGCUAAAUACUCCUGACUGACCGAUAGUGAACCAGUACCGUGAGGGAAAGGCGAAAAGAACCCCGGCGAGGGGAGUGAAAAAGAACCUGAAACCGUGUACGUACAAGCAGUGGGAGCCUCUUUAUGGGGUGACUGCGUACCUUUUGUAUAAUGGGUCAGCGACUUAUAUUCUGUAGCAAGGUUAACCGAAUAGGGGAGCCGAAGGGAAACCGAGUCUUAACUGGGCGUUAAGUUGCAGGGUAUAGACCCGAAACCCGGUGAUCUAGCCAUGGGCAGGUUGAAGGUUGGGUAACACUAACUGGAGGACCGAACCGACUAAUGUUGAAAAAUUAGCGGAUGACUUGUGGCUGGGGGUGAAAGGCCAAUCAAACCGGGAGAUAGCUGGUUCUCCCCGAAAGCUAUUUAGGUAGCGCCUCGUGAAUUCAUCUCCGGGGGUAGAGCACUGUUUCGGCAAGGGGGUCAUCCCGACUUACCAACCCGAUGCAAACUGCGAAUACCGGAGAAUGUUAUCACGGGAGACACACGGCGGGUGCUAACGUCCGUCGUGAAGAGGGAAACAACCCAGACCGCCAGCUAAGGUCCCAAAGUCAUGGUUAAGUGGGAAACGAUGUGGGAAGGCCCAGACAGCCAGGAUGUUGGCUUAGAAGCAGCCAUCAUUUAAAGAAAGCGUAAUAGCUCACUGGUCGAGUCGGCCUGCGCGGAAGAUGUAACGGGGCUAAACCAUGCACCGAAGCUGCGGCAGCGACGCUUAUGCGUUGUUGGGUAGGGGAGCGUUCUGUAAGCCUGCGAAGGUGUGCUGUGAGGUAUGCUGGAGGUAUCAGAAGUGCGAAUGCUGACAUAAGUAACGAUAAAGCGGGUGAAAAGCCCGCUCGCCGGAAGACCAAGGGUUCCUGUCCAACGUUAAUCGGGGCAGGGUGAGUCGACCCCUAAGGCGAGGCCGAAAGGCGUAGUCGAUGGGAAACAGGUUAAUAUUCCUGUACUUGGUGUUACUGCGAAGGGGGGACGGAGAAGGCUAUGUUGGCCGGGCGACGGUUGUCCCGGUUUAAGCGUGUAGGCUG
This 1490-nucleotide ribosomal RNA is filed under the name Escherichia coli. RNAcentral describes it as "partial 23S ribosomal RNA". It matches the Rfam family "Bacterial large subunit ribosomal RNA", at positions 1 to 1527 of the family's 2925-position model. Lineage: Bacteria; Pseudomonadati; Pseudomonadota; Gammaproteobacteria; Enterobacterales; Enterobacteriaceae. The record is from RNAcentral.